ACAGGGGAUGCAAGUGUUAUCCGGAAUUAUUGGGCGUAAAGGGUCUCUAGGUUGAAAUUUAAGUCUUUUGUUAAAUAAUAAGGCUUAACCUUAAUAAUGCAAAAGAAACUGUAUUUCUAGAGUUUGGUAGAAGUUAAGGGAAUUUCCAGUGGAGCGGUGAAAUGCGUAGAGAUUGGAAGGAACACCAAAAGCGAAAGCACUUAACUGGGCCAUGACUGACACUGACAGACGAAAGCUAGGGGAGCAAACGA
RNAcentral lists this ribosomal RNA (251 nucleotides) under uncultured prokaryote. RNAcentral's name for it is "partial 16S ribosomal RNA". It matches the Rfam family "Bacterial small subunit ribosomal RNA", at positions 525 to 775 of the family's 1533-position model. The record is from RNAcentral.